This 480-nucleotide ribosomal RNA is filed under the name uncultured soil bacterium. RNAcentral's name for it is "bacterial SSU rRNA". It matches the Rfam family "Bacterial small subunit ribosomal RNA", at positions 8 to 524 of the family's 1533-position model. The record is from RNAcentral.
AGAGUUUGAUCCUGGCUCAGAACGAACGCUGGCGGCAGGCCUAACACAUGCAAGUCGAACGAGAAGCCACCUUCGGGUGGUGGACAGUGGCAGACGGGUGAGUAACGCGUGGGAACGUGCCUUUCGGUUCGGAAUAACCCAGGGAAACCUGGGCUAAUACCGGAUACGCCCUCCGGGGGAAAGAUUCAUCGCCGAAAGAUCGGCCCGCGUCGGAUUAGCUAGUUGGUGAGGUAAUGGCUCACCAAGGCGACGAUCCGUAGCUGGUCUGAGAGGAUGACCAGCCACACUGGGACUGAGACACGGCCCAGACUCCUACGGGAGGCAGCAGUGGGGAAUACUGGACAAUGGGCGAAAGCCUGAUCCAGCCAUGCCGCGUGGGUGAAGAAGGCCUUAGGGUUGUAAACCCCUUUCAGCGGGGAAGAUAAUGACGGUACCCGCAGAAGAAGUCCCGGCUAACUCCGUGCCAGCAGCCGCGGUAAU